GCAGACACAUUCCAGCCAAUCAGCAGCAGACCCUCCCUCCCAGAUCCUCCCACCUCCUGGACAGCAUCCAUUUUACAUUCAUUGUGAAGCUGCAUUCUUAGUGAGCUGUCCAGGAGGUGGGAGGGUCUGGGAGGGAGGGUCUGCUGCUGAUUGGCUGAAAUGUGUCUG
Non-coding RNA from Pelobates cultripes (western spadefoot toad), 168 nucleotides. The record is from the annotation of a GenBank genome assembly. NCBI's taxonomy places the organism in Eukaryota, Metazoa, Chordata, Amphibia, Anura, Pelobatidae.